This 634-nucleotide ribosomal RNA is filed under the name Chryseobacterium sp. RNAcentral describes it as "bacterial SSU rRNA". It matches the Rfam family "Bacterial small subunit ribosomal RNA", at positions 140 to 773 of the family's 1533-position model. The record is from RNAcentral. Lineage: Bacteria; Pseudomonadati; Bacteroidota; Flavobacteriia; Flavobacteriales; Weeksellaceae.
GGGAUAGCCUUUCGAAAGGAAGAUUAAUACCCCAUAAUAUUUUGAAUGGCAUCAUUUGAAAUUGAAAACUCCGGUGGAUAAAGAUGGGCACGCGCAAGAUUAGAUAGUUGGUAGGGUAACGGCCUACCAAGUCUACGAUCUUUAGGGGGCCUGAGAGGGUGAUCCCCCACACUGGUACUGAGACACGGACCAGACUCCUACGGGAGGCAGCAGUGAGGAAUAUUGGACAAUGGGUGAGAGCCUGAUCCAGCCAUCCCGCGUGAAGGAUUAAGGUCCUAUGGAUUGUAAACUUCUUUUGUAUAGGGAUAAACCUAGAUACGUGUAUCUAGCUGAAGGUACUAUACGAAUAAGCACCGGCUAACUCCGUGCCAGCAGCCGCGGUAAUACGGAGGGUGCAAGCGUUAUCCGGAUUUAUUGGGUUUAAAGGGUCCGUAGGCGGAUUUGUAAGUCAGUGGUGAAAUCUCACAGCUUAACUGUGAAACUGCCAUUGAUACUGCAAGUCUUGAGUGUUGUUGAAGUAGCUGGAAUAAGUAGUGUAGCGGUGAAAUGCAUAGAUAUUACUUAGAACACCAAUUGCGAAGGCAGGUUACUAAGCAACAACUGACGCUGAUGGACGAAAGCGUGGGGAGCGAAC